GACAGAGGGUGCAAACGUUGUUCGGAAUUACUGGGCGUAAAGCGCGUGUAGGCGGCUAAGUAAGUCGGGCGUGAAAUCCCACGGCUCAACCGUGGAAGUGCACUCGAAACUGCAUAGCUAGAGUCCUGGAGAGGAAGGUGGAAUGCUUGGUGUAGAGGUGAAAUUCGUAGAUAUCAAGCGGAACACCGGUGGCGAAGGCGGCCUCCUGGACAGUGACUGACGCUGAGACGCGAAAGCGUGGGGAGCAAACAGG
Molecule: ribosomal RNA, 253 nt
Filed under: uncultured bacterium
Lineage: Bacteria
Description: partial 16S ribosomal RNA
Rfam family: Bacterial small subunit ribosomal RNA
Source: RNAcentral